Molecule: long non-coding RNA, 379 nt
Organism: Carassius carassius (crucian carp)
Lineage: Eukaryota; Metazoa; Chordata; Actinopteri; Cypriniformes; Cyprinidae
Exons: 3
Source: RefSeq, a predicted model, not a curated record
AGUAUGCAGAACACAAAGCGCACAAAGCGGGGGAGAAACCAAGGUGGCGUUGUUGAUAAAGUAGGUGAUACAGUCUCAGUGCCACCUCCUGUCUCUGGUUCACCACAAGUUGCACCGACGGCAGUUGCAACAAUUGAAAAACUCAAAGAAGAAAAUAGACUCCUGAAAGAGGAACGGGAUUUUCUGCGGGAGCAAUUGAGAGGUUCCCUCAAUAAAAGACAACUAGGGACAAACAGAAGAAUGCAAAAUGAUUCAUCUUCUGAGUCAGAAUCUGCAGACAACUCAACAUUCUCAGACACAUCAGAUUCCUCAGACAAGCCUCCAAAGAGAAAACACAAGAGAAAGCACAAAGUCAGAGAAGACAAAGAUACCUACAUUC